GAUGAACGCUGGCGGCGUGCCUAAUACAUGCAAGUCGAGCGAACGGACGAGAAGCUUGCUUCUCUGAUGUUAGCGGCGGACAGGGGAGUAACACGUGGAUAACCUACCUAUAAGACUGGGAUAACUUCGGGAAACCGGAGCUAAUACCGGAUAAUAUUUUGAACCGCAUGGUUCAAAAGUGAAAGACGGUCUUGCUGUCACUUAUAGAUGGAUCCGCGCUGCAUUAGCUAGUUGGUAAGGUAACGGCUUACCAAGGCAACGAUGCAUAGCCGACCUGAGAGGAUGAUCGGCCACACUGGAACUGAGACACGGUCCAGACGCCUACGGGAGGCAGCAGUAGGGAAUCUUCCGCAAUGGGCGAAAGCCUGACGGAGCAACGCCGCGUGAGUGAUGAAGGUCUUCGGAUCGUAAAACUCUGUUAUUAGGGAAGAACAUAUGUGUAAGUAACUGUGCACAUCUUGACGGUACCUAAUCAGAAAGCCACGGCUAACUACGUG
This 497-nucleotide ribosomal RNA is filed under the name uncultured bacterium. RNAcentral describes it as "partial 16S ribosomal RNA". It matches the Rfam family "Bacterial small subunit ribosomal RNA", at positions 28 to 507 of the family's 1533-position model. The record is from RNAcentral.